This is a small nuclear RNA of Camelus dromedarius (Arabian camel), 103 nucleotides long. The record is from Ensembl. Lineage: Eukaryota; Metazoa; Chordata; Mammalia; Artiodactyla; Camelidae.
UCCUUUCUGUGAGGUCCAAAGAGUGUUCACUUGAUACAGGGAAGAUUUAGCAUGGUCACUGCGCAAGGAUAACAUGCAAAUUUGUGAAGUGUGCCAUAUUUUU